GAUAACCACAAAUCAAUAAAUCAAUUAAAUGGAAUUAAAUCUAUGGGUCACACAUCAAUCUAAACAUGGAUCAUGAACUAAACAAAGGUAAUGGAACUCAUAUUCAACAAUUAAAGAAUUAAUCAACAAAAUGCAAGGAUGGUCUAUCAAACCCUAAUCUAAACAUGCUCAAAUUGAUCAAGACUUCACAGUAUCAAACAUGUUCAUCAUAUUCA
Molecule: long non-coding RNA, 215 nt
Filed under: Lathyrus oleraceus (garden pea)
Lineage: Eukaryota; Viridiplantae; Streptophyta; Magnoliopsida; Fabales; Fabaceae
Description: Pisum sativum (pea) long non-coding RNA (PSAT_LNC010432)
Source: RNAcentral